RNAcentral lists this ribosomal RNA (207 nucleotides) under uncultured bacterium. RNAcentral's name for it is "partial 16S ribosomal RNA". It matches the Rfam family "Bacterial small subunit ribosomal RNA", at positions 568 to 774 of the family's 1533-position model. The record is from RNAcentral.
CGUGUAGGCGGCCUUGUAAGUCAGGUGUGAAAUCCUUCGGCUCAACCGGAGACGUGCACCUGAUACUGCAAGGCUUGAGUGCAGGAGAGGAGAGUGGAAUUCCUGGUGUAGCGGUGAAAUGCGUAGAUAUCAGGAAGAACACCAGUGGCGAAGGCGACUCUCUGGCCUGUCACUGACGCUGAGGCGCGAAAGCCAGGGGAGCGAACA